AGAUUGAACGCUGGCGGCAGGCCUAACACAUGCAAGUCGAGCGGUAACAUUUCUAGCUUGCUAGAAGAUGACGAGCGGCGGACGGGUGAGUAAUGCUUGGGGAUCUGCCCAGUCGAGGGGGAUAACAGUUGGAAACGACUGCUAAUACCGCAUACGCCCUACGGGGGAAAGCAGGGGACUUUUUAAGCCUUGCGCGAUUGGAUGAACCCAAGUGGGAUUAGCUAGUAGGUAAGGUAAAGGCUUACCUAGGCGACGAUCCCUAGCUGGUCUGAGAGGAUGAUCAGCCACACUGGAACUGAGACACGGUCCAGACUCCUACGGGAGGCAGCAGUGGGGAAUAUUGCACAAUGGGGGAAACCCUGAUGCAGCCAUGCCGCGUGUGUGAAGAAGGCCUUCGGGUUGUAAAGCACUUUCAGCGAGGAGGAAAGGGUGAUGGUUAAUACCCAUCAUCUGUGACGUUACUCGCAGAAGAAGCACCGGCUAACUUCGUGCCAGCAGCCGCGGUAAUACGAGGGGUGCAAGCGUUAAUCGGAAUUACUGGGCGUAAAGCGUACGCAGGCGGUUUGUUAAGCAAGAUGUGAAAGCCCCGGGCUCAACCUGGGAACAGCAUUUUGAACUGGCAARCUAGAGUCUUGUAGAGGGGGGUAGAAUUUCAGGUGUAGCGGUGAAAUGCGUAGAGAUCUGAAGGAAUACCGGUGGCGAAGGCGGCCCCCUGGACA
This 719-nucleotide ribosomal RNA is filed under the name Shewanella sp. Its description in RNAcentral is "bacterial SSU rRNA". It matches the Rfam family "Bacterial small subunit ribosomal RNA", at positions 26 to 735 of the family's 1533-position model. The record is from RNAcentral. Lineage: Bacteria; Pseudomonadati; Pseudomonadota; Gammaproteobacteria; Alteromonadales; Shewanellaceae.